Molecule: ribosomal RNA, 118 nt
Filed under: Periophthalmus magnuspinnatus
Lineage: Eukaryota; Metazoa; Chordata; Actinopteri; Gobiiformes; Gobiidae
Source: RNAcentral
UUGCAUGGCCAUAUCACCUUGAAAAUGCCUAAUCUUGUUUGAUCUUGGGAGCUAAGUAGGGUUAGGCCUGGUUUGUACUUGGAUGGAAAACCUUAGGCAAAACCUUUUGCCCAGUAUU